Long non-coding RNA from Ictalurus punctatus (channel catfish), 1171 nucleotides. RefSeq lists it as uncharacterized. The transcript has 2 exons. NCBI's taxonomy places the organism in Eukaryota, Metazoa, Chordata, Actinopteri, Siluriformes, Ictaluridae. The record is from RefSeq and is a predicted model, not a curated record.
AAGGGGCGUGUCAAAGCGCGUGAGUCCGCCUAGAAAAAGUGAGGACAGAGACAGUGUCCAGAGCGGGAGGGUGAUGUCUGUCUUAUCCUCAGCUACGGCUCGGACGGAGCGAGAUGAGCCAUGAAUCCACCUCACUUUGAGUUGCCAUCUUUUCCAGCGCUCUGCAUACUAACAGCGUUACGUAAUUAUACAGUUAUACGAAUGACCGGGUUACGCCAAAAAACCACACACUACCGCACUAAAUACCGUACGAGGCGUAGUUUUGUGCGUACUGUUUCGACGGGUAGUGAUUCAACGCUCGCUUAAAGUUCGAGCCCGGUCAAAAACAAACAAACAAACAGCCGUUUGAAACGGGAAGCGCGUCGGUACUGAAAGUUGGAGGCAGGUCGAAAACUGUGUACAAGACUGAAGAACAUGGCGAGGGUCGGUUUAGAGAACGGCGUCUUAAUUACCUGCUCGAAAAGAGCGCAUAAAACUCCGAGGCGAGCCGGUAAACACCGCGACGUGAACAGGAACGAGGCAGCGAGCGGAAAAAGCCACUGACGACCGAGUUCAAGUCUUCAGAGAAAUUCGCUGAAAGCAAGGCUGACAACGAUGUGAAAACUCCGAUGAGCAGCAUUUUGGGGAAUUGGAGUGAUGAAGUGAUGUUUACAUGGAGAGAAAUGAAGAAAACCAUUACGGCAAGAGUAAAUUCAUGUAAGAUACACUGAGUGUCCCUGAAGCUAAGUGGCAUCACUGUUGUGCAUUUGAAUCCUAAGAAUUUUUUUAUUAUUGUUUUUAAUUCCGACAUUCCCUGACCCUAUAUUUAGUGAACCAUAAUAGUAGUUUGUAAAUUCCUGUAAUGCCAAUGAAGAUCCUGGGCAGUGCAUUUGACACACAUUGUACUGCUGAAUAACUGGUAAGCAAUUUGGAUGUAAAAACAAGAACCACAUAAUGAAAUUGUAAUGCUAAUUCAAAAAGGUCAUUUUAAAAUCUUUGCAGCAAUUGUUUACUGGUUAACAGUUCACUGUUUUCCUGUGGGGGAGUUUGCAAUAACCUGAAACAGCACCUUGAUCACUUAUGCAAGGUUAUUGUUGAAUAUACAGUGUACCGUUAUAGUACUGUAUUUAAUUUAAAUGUUAUGUGCUGUAAUGUAUAUCUUGUUUAAUAAAUCAUUUUUUUUAAAAAUCAA